RNAcentral lists this transfer RNA (93 nucleotides) under Hafnia phage vB_HalM_SPARTY. Its description in RNAcentral is "tRNA-Ser". It matches the Rfam family "tRNA". Rfam says of the family: Transfer RNA (tRNA) molecules are approximately 80 nucleotides in length. Their secondary structure includes four short double-helical elements and three loops (D, anti-codon, and T loops). Further hydrogen bonds mediate the characteristic L-shaped molecular structure. tRNAs have two regions of fundamental functional importance: the anti-codon, which is responsible for specific mRNA codon recognition, and the 3' end, to which the tRNAs corresponding amino acid is attached (by aminoacyl-tRNA synthetases). tRNAs cope with the degeneracy of the genetic code in two manners: having more than one tRNA (with a specific anti-codon) for a particular amino acid; and 'wobble' base-pairing, i.e. permitting non-standard base-pairing at the 3rd anti-codon position. RNAcentral also lists the same sequence under 4 other names. Lineage: Duplodnaviria; Heunggongvirae; Uroviricota; Caudoviricetes; Andersonviridae. The record is from RNAcentral.
GGAAGAUUAACCCUAAAAGGUAAGGGAAGUGUUUGCUAAACACUCAGUAACCGAGAAAUCGGCGUACCAGUUCAAGUCUGGUAUCUUCCUCCA